CCCCUAGAUGUUCUGGGCCGCACGCGCGCUACACUGAACAGUUCAACAAGUCUUAACCUUGGCCGAUAGGUCUGGGUAAUCUUUGAACGCUGUUCGUGAUUGGGAUAGACCUUUGCAAUUAUGGGUCUUCAACGAGGAAUUCCUAGUAAACGCAAGUCAUCAGCUUGCAUUGAUUACGUCCCUGCCCUUUGUACACACCGCCCGUCGCACCUACCGAUUGAAUGGUCCGGUGAAAUCUCGGGGCGGCGGCUCGGUCGCUUGCGUCCGACUGCUGAAACUUGAUUAAACCAUAUCAUUUAGAGGAAGGUGAAGUCGUAACA
This 320-nucleotide ribosomal RNA is filed under the name uncultured eukaryote. Its description in RNAcentral is "partial 18S ribosomal RNA". It matches the Rfam family "Eukaryotic small subunit ribosomal RNA", at positions 1470 to 1796 of the family's 1831-position model. The record is from RNAcentral.